CGCGGACGCUGUUGCCUCCUUCAGGGGACCCUGGACCUGCUGGAGCUGGAACAUUUUGUUUCACUGAAAUACUAUGCAACUUUAAAAAAAAAGUGUACUCUGGUAAAAGAUGAAGUAUGUGAAGAUGAGCUGGGUGACAGGAGGCCUUGUGAGCUAGAGCCAGGUAAUGAGCCAGGUUGGUGUGGACUCUCUGGCUAAACAUUUCUUGAUCAUUAAUUCUGACUCCUCUCUUCACAGUGAGUUGAAAUAAAGGAAAAUGGCU
Suricata suricatta (meerkat) is the source of this 262-nucleotide long non-coding RNA. RefSeq lists it as uncharacterized. Lineage: Eukaryota; Metazoa; Chordata; Mammalia; Carnivora; Herpestidae. The record is from RefSeq and is a predicted model, not a curated record. The transcript has 3 exons.